ACGCUGGCGGCGUGCCUAAUACAUGCAAGUCGAACGAGAGCGACCGGUGCCUGCACUGGUCAAUCUAGUGGCGAACGGGUGAGUAACACGUGGGUAACCUGCCCAUCAGAGGGGGAUAACAUUCGGAAACGGAUGCUAAAACCGCAUAGGUUCUUGAGUCGCAUGACCCGAGAAGGAAAAGAGGCUUCGGCUUCUGCUGAUGGAUGGACCCGCGGUGCAUUAGCUAGUUGGUGAGGUAACGGCUCACCAAGGCCGUGAUGCAUAGCCGACCUGAGAGGGUGAUCGGCCACAUUGGGACCGAGACACGGCCCAAACUCCUACGGGAGGCAGCAGUAGGGAAUCUUCCGCAAUGGACGCAAGUCUGACGGAGCAACGCCGCGUGAGUGAAGAAGGAUUUCGGUUCGUAAAACUCUGUUGUUAGAGAAGAACAGCGCAUAGAGUAACUGUUAUGCGUGUGACGGUAUCUAACCAGAAAGCCACGGCUAACUACGUGCCAGCAGCCGCGGUAAUACGUAGGUGGCAAGCGUUGUCCGGAUUUAUUGGGCGUAAAGCGAGCGCAGGCGGUCAAUUAAGUCUGAUGUGAAAGCCCCCGGCUCAACCGGGGAGGGUCAUUGGAAACUGGUUGACUUGAGUGCAGAAGAGGAGAGUGGAAUUCCAUGUGUAGCGGUGAAAUGCGUAGAUAUAUGGAGGAACACCAGUGGCGAAGGCGACUCUCUGGUCUGUAACUGACGCUGAGGCUCGAAAGCGUGGGUAGCAAACAGGAUUAGAUACCCUGGUAGUCCACGCCGUAAACGAUGAGUGCUAAGUGUUGGAGGGUUUCCGCCCUUCAGUGCUGCAGUUAACGCAUUAAGCACUCCGCCUGGGGAGUACGACCGCAAGGUUGAAACUCAAAGGAAUUGACGGGGACCCGCACAAGCGGU
Molecule: ribosomal RNA, 920 nt
Filed under: uncultured bacterium
Lineage: Bacteria
Description: bacterial SSU rRNA
Rfam family: Bacterial small subunit ribosomal RNA
Source: RNAcentral